Long non-coding RNA from Erinaceus europaeus (western European hedgehog), 2774 nucleotides. RefSeq lists it as uncharacterized. The transcript has 2 exons. The record is from RefSeq and is a predicted model, not a curated record. Lineage: Eukaryota; Metazoa; Chordata; Mammalia; Eulipotyphla; Erinaceidae.
ACACACACAUAUAUAUAUAUAUAUAUAUAUAUACAUACGAGAGAGAGAGAGAGAUUGAAAGGGAAGCAGGGAGAUAGAAAGGAGAGACAUAAAAUAAAUAAAUAAAAUAAAUAGAGAAAUAAAUAAAUAGAAGAGAAAGAAAAAGACCACUCCAGCACUGCUUCAAGACUUGUGGAGGUUUCUCUUGUGGAGACCAGGAACUUGAACCCAGGUCCUAGUGCAUGAGAAUGUGCGCAUUCUACUGGGUGUGCCCCAGGGAGGCUUUUUUUUUUUUUUUAGAAAGGGAAACUAUUGAUACUCCACACACACAUACACACACACAGUGGUUCUUAGAACUCCCUGCCACUAUUAGGUUGACCCAGAAGAAAUGUCUUCUCUGUAGAUAAAAAGCAGUUAAUGUUGGUCAUUUCAUGUGGUUCUACCCAAUGAAUGCAUUUUACUCCCAUCAGUCAGCAGAGAGGGAGCCACCCACCCCCUUUCUUCUGGAGCCCCAGAAAAUUUUAACGACUCUGUGCAUUCUGUAAUUUUAUUAUUUGCAGCCUAGGGUUUCUUACAUGUGUCAUACACUGCUGAGAAACCUCCCUGGGCUGACUUUUUUUUAUUCUCUAGAAGUAGGGAAGAGAGGUGUGAGAGGGAGAAAGUCACAGUACCUCUCUGUCGUCCAUAGUGCUUCCAUGGUGCCAUGGGUGGUACUCCCAUGUGGUGCUGGGGCUCACACCCAGGGCCUUGCCCACAGGGAGGCAAUACUUUCUAGCAAGUGAGCUCUCUCCCAGCCCUGCACUAUGAGAUUCCAGCCAUCCUAUUUAUUUUACUCUGUAUGGCUUUGGUAAAGUUAUUUCAACUGAAGGAAAUAAAGCACCCCAACCUGGGAGAAGACCCCAGCAAACCCCUACCUCAACCUGCUUUCAGGGUCUGGAAAUGUGGGACCAUUCAGAUAGCUUUUUCCUCUCCCCAUCCCCACUGUUGUCACCAGGACUUCACCACUCCAGGCUGAACUUUUCAGAUAGAAGAAACAGGAGAGAACAAAUACUGAAAAUAACUUCACGAUACUGAAGUUCCACCCCGUGCAGUGGGAGCUGGGCAGGAACCUGGGCCUCGUGCAGGACAAAGUGGGCACCCUCCCAGGUUGUCCUGUGAAUGUUCGUCCUGCAUGAUGGGACAGCCUUUUUCCAGCUUCUCUGAAAAUGGAGACAGAACAGCAGCAGCAGGUUAUGGGAGUGAGUACAGAACCCUUCCGCCUAAGACACAGCCAAGAUCCUCAGGAUUGAAGAGCUGAGGACGGGGAGACACAGCCACAGUCCUGAGGAGCUGCAGUUUCUGCUGGCACCAAGAUGGCCCCGGGAGGAGGCCCAGGCGCUGUCGGACUCUGCUCCCAGCCUUGUCGGUCAGACCUGGCAGGGCACCUGGAAAUACAUGCCCUCAUUUGUCCCAGAGAACUUAGCCUGCUGGCGGCCAUCUCCACCCUCCUCAUACCCCUGGCUCCCAGCAGACAGAAAUUUCUCCACUACCUGCAUUUCCCCCUGAGCACAGAGGGAAGCCCUCUCUGAGGUUGCCCAGGCUGGGGGCUCGAGCCUUCUAGGAGUUAAAGAUUCCCUGUCCCCAGCUGUCCUUCCCUUGGUGCUCUUCUUCCUCCCUCCUCCUGCUCACAGCAGGCAGGGCCUGGACCCAGGAGCCAGGCUGCUGUGCUGUUGCCAGGGGAGCCGGGAGGCAGACCCCAGCUAUGCAGGGAAAAGGCCCAGCCUGUCAAAGUGUCUGAGAUGCUCGCCGCUGUCCCCAUGCAGCUGGGCGCAGACGUGUCUCUGCUCUUGUUCUGUGCCUGAGAAUGGCGAAGCUCCAUGAGGUUCAAGGGCAAACUCACUAUUCAUUAGUCAGGGGUUCUUGAUGUCCCGGCUCUCCCAGGGAUGGGUGUCUCCCCUUUCCCCUUUCCCUCCUGUGACACAUUCCUGGGUGCCAUCCUCCUCCUGCCCCACUCCCUACAGAACCCCCCCCAAUAGGCUCCCCCCAAAGGGACCAGGUGGAACAGACAAUAGCCACAGGAAACCAUUCAGAAGGGAGCCCCAGUCACACUGGCAAUCCACCUGCAUGCCCUGUGGGCCCCUCUGUCCUCUGAGACUGGGCAGCCCUGGCCGCCAGGCUGCACAAGUCUGGAUGACAGGAAACCAGUCAGCACUGCUGGGGCUAGUCUACAGCCGUCCCCACAGGGCCCUGGCCGGGGCUCACCCAGUUGGCUUUCUUGUGCCUGCCAGUGACUGGAUUUUAACACUCGAAUACUGUUGGUUGGAAAGUAUAAAUUGUAUGCUGUUUUCUGAAAUGUGGCCAUACCAGAGUGGAAGGGCAGAGAUACGUGGUCACAUACAAAUAAAUCAUAGCACCAGGCAUGUAUGGUUAUGCUUGUAAAGGGAGUAUUGUACACAUAUUCAUGGUAGAUAUGUAAAAAGAAGUGUAUCCCAAGAAGUGUGAUGUAAAGAAAUGGAGACAAACCCAUUCAUUUUGGGGGAUAAUCUCACUUGGGCAACUUGGGAAAUAACUCAACUGACAGAGUAUCAGAGUUGCAUGCCUAAGGUUCCCAGUUCGAUUCCCAGUUCGAUCUCCAGUACCACAUAUACAGGACUGGUGUUCUGACCUCCCCCUCUCUCUGCUCAUAUCUAUACAUAUGAUGAACCAAAGGGAAGAAAAAAAUAAUUAACUUAGUGGAUUUCUGUGUAUGAGCAGGUGUGGAAGGCUGAUCAGUGCGUAUUGUUGAGAAAACUGAAUAAAUUGCAGAAAAUGUGGUA